GACGAACGCUGGCGGCGUGCUUAACACAUGCAAGUCGAACGGAAAGGCCCUGCUUUUGUGGGGUGCUCGAGUGGCGAACGGGUGAGUAACACGUGAGUAACCUGCCCUUGACUUUGGGAUAACUUCAGGAAACUGGGGCUAAUACCGGAUAGGAGCUCCUGCUGCAUGGUGGGGGUUGGAAAGUUUCGGCGGUUGGGGAUGGACUCGCGGCUUAUCAGCUUGUUGGUGGGGUAGUGGCUUACCAAGGCUUUGACGGGUAGCCGGCCUGAGAGGGUGACCGGCAACAUGGGGAAUGAGGGAGGGCCCAGUGGCAAAGGGGGGACAGAGGGGGGAAGACUGGCAAAGGGGGGGGGGGCCUGAUGAGGAAACGCCGGGUGGGGAAGGCGGGCUGGGGGGUGGAAAACCGUUUUCGCUGAAGAGAAUGGUGGGGUGAGGGAAGGGGGAAAAGAGGCCCCGGCUAACUACGUG
RNAcentral lists this ribosomal RNA (468 nucleotides) under uncultured bacterium. RNAcentral describes it as "partial 16S ribosomal RNA". It matches the Rfam family "Bacterial small subunit ribosomal RNA", at positions 28 to 507 of the family's 1533-position model. The record is from RNAcentral.